AUCAAUGAAUAAGAUGAUGACUCUCUUGCUAUCUCUUUGUCUCUACACUUUAUUCUUCAUCACGUUAUCAUGCACUUUGUUCUAACCCUAGAGCCAAUAGCACACCAUUUAUUUUCCAAACCCUAAAAACCAAAACCCUAAAAUCGGGCAGCCUUGUUUUUCCCGAUUUCCGACCAAAAUUCCGACUGCCCUCCGCCGGAAUUUUAUAUCCCCAGAAAGCUCUUUCCGUCACGGAUCCAACGCCGCCGGCCUCACCCUGAGAACCGGCCGGAAAGUCUCCGAACCGGCCGUCGGAAAAUUCCAGACCGCCGCCGCUACCGACCACCGGUUCACCACCUUCCCUUGCUCCGAUCAACCUGAAAUUUUGACAGAAGCUUCCCCAUCCAAAGCUGCUCCUCCUGUCAAAUUUUCAGCCCCAAAUUCGAAGUAUAAGUAGGCGAAACGUUAUUUCUCCUCUCGGCAGCCUUUAGAAAAGUAUGUUUUGAAACCUUAAACUCUUCCAAGUUCAAUAACUCGGGGAGGAUAAAAUCCUUUCCUCCCUUCUCCAUCUCCAUUCUAUGCUUGAGAUUUUGUGUGUGCAGGUACCAAAAAUCCCGGAAUUUUAUUCGCGGGUCAAGAGUAUGUUGGAUCACUCUUGUUUCUUUGUCCGGGUUGUGUUUGAUCAACCCCGACCUUUCACCGGAUUGUGUUUGAUCAAUCCGAGGCCUUUUUUCCAAAUUGUGUUUGAUCAAUUCGCGGCUUUUCCGGAUUGUGUAUGAUCAAUCCGAAGGACAAACCAUUAAAAGCAUCGUUUGUGACCUCUAUCGAGUCUCAUAACAGCUUGGUUUUGUAUGCAAGAGCAAUGUAACAUUCUGCUCCUUUGAGUUUUGACGUACUAGAUGCCUAAGGCGGAUCUUCGCUUGGUAUCUGUGGAACCUUUUCAUUGGA
This 927-nucleotide long non-coding RNA is filed under the name Fragaria vesca (wild strawberry). Its description in RNAcentral is "long non-coding RNA (FVES_LNC004685)". Lineage: Eukaryota; Viridiplantae; Streptophyta; Magnoliopsida; Rosales; Rosaceae. The record is from RNAcentral.